Molecule: non-coding RNA, 136 nt
Organism: Hordeum vulgare subsp. vulgare (domesticated barley)
Lineage: Eukaryota; Viridiplantae; Streptophyta; Magnoliopsida; Poales; Poaceae
Source: Rfam
UAAGUACUCUUUUCGUCCGAAAUUUUUUGUCUUAGAUUUGUCUAGAUAUGAAUGUAUCUAGUCAUGUUUUAGCAUUUAGAUACAUUUAUUUCAAGACAAAUCUAAGACAAAAUUUUUGGAACGGAGGGAGUACUCG